GAGAAGUUUUGUUUUGUGUAAAGCUAAACACACAUGUUAGUGGCUAACGAAUUUAUCUUACCGUAGUUGUUUAUUUUGUGUAACUUCGUAAAUAGCAAGAGAAUAAGCAAAUAAUGAUUUUGCAGAUUGUGUUGAUGCGAAGGUAUUCGAAGCAAGCUAGAGUUCACUUGGUCAGGAGACUGUUGCGAAGAGCUGCAGUCUUCAGUAAGAAGAAUGGAACUGAAGAAGCCAAGAAAAAAUUAAAGAGAAAGGCUGACCGUCUGAUUGAAGAAAUUUUGGUUCUGAAAACAGGGUCCAAGGGCCGGAUGCGGACCUGACCACUCCACCCUCGAGUCAUUCCUCCAGAAAGCAGGACGACUAAGGCGCCCUGGCGCCUCGUUAGCAGCUGAACUUCGGCCAGCAAUCGUCAAACCUCCAGUCCUUCAGUUUAUUUUAUAUAUCUUCAGAAUAACAUUAAAUCACGACGUUGAAAGUAUCGGAACUCCAGAAAUUUUUUUUUCGGAACUUUAAUCGCUCUAAGUCUGCUAUUGUUAAUAAUUAACCUGUUUAUU
Long non-coding RNA from Bacillus rossius redtenbacheri, 551 nucleotides. RefSeq lists it as uncharacterized. NCBI's taxonomy places the organism in Eukaryota, Metazoa, Arthropoda, Insecta, Phasmatodea, Bacillidae. The transcript has 3 exons. The record is from RefSeq and is a predicted model, not a curated record.